GACGAACGCUGGCGGCGUGCUUAACACAUGCAAGUCGAACGGUGAAGCGCCUUCCUUUUUGGUGGGUGUGGAUGAGUGGCGAACGGGUGAGUAACACGUGAGUAACCUGCCCCCUUCUUCUGGAUAACCGCAUGAAAGGGUGGCUAAUACGGGAUAUUCUGGGUCUGUCGCAUGAUGGGUCUGGGAAAGAUAUUGUUUCGGUGGGGGAUGGGCUCGCGGCCUAUCAGCUUGUUGGGGGGGUGAUGGCCUACCAAGGCGGUGACGGGUAGCCGGCCUGAGAGGGUGGACGGUCACACUGGGACUGAGACACGGCCCAGACUCCUACGGGAGGCAGCAGUGGGGAAUAUUGCACAAUGGGCGCAAGCCUGAUGCAGCGACGCCGCGUGAGGGAUGGAGGCCUUCGGGUUGUGAACCUCUUUCGCCAGUGAAGCAGGCCUGCCUCGUUUGUGGGUGGGUUGACGGUAGCUGGAUAAGAAGCGCCGGCUAACUACGUG
This 494-nucleotide ribosomal RNA is filed under the name uncultured bacterium. RNAcentral's name for it is "partial 16S ribosomal RNA". It matches the Rfam family "Bacterial small subunit ribosomal RNA", at positions 28 to 507 of the family's 1533-position model. The record is from RNAcentral.